UGGGGAAUUUUGCACAAUGGGGGAAACCCUGAUGCAGCGACGCCGCGUGAUUUAGAAGGCCUUCGGGUUGUAAAAAUCUUUUUUACGGGAUGAAAAUGACAGUACCGUAAGAAUAAGGUCCGGCUAAAUACGUGCCAGCAGCCGCGGUAAUACGUAUGGACCGAGCGUUGUCCGGAAUCAUUGGGCGUAAAGGGUACGAAGGCGGCCUAGUAAGUUAGAAGUGAAAUAAUAUAGCUCAACUAUAUAAAGCUUUUAAAACUGCUAGGCUUGAGAGAUGGAAGGGAAAGUGGAAUUCCUAGUGUAGCGGUGAAAUGCGCAGAUAUUAGGAAGAAUACCGGUGGCGAAGGCGACUUUCUGGUCAUCAUCUGACGCUGAGGUACGAAAGCGUGGGUAGCAAACAGG
RNAcentral lists this ribosomal RNA (402 nucleotides) under bacterium. Its description in RNAcentral is "partial 16S ribosomal RNA". It matches the Rfam family "Bacterial small subunit ribosomal RNA", at positions 355 to 776 of the family's 1533-position model. The record is from RNAcentral.